GUCCACUGACAAGCUCCCUCUUGGGCUCUCAUGUCUGGGCCACUGAACCACAGUGUUGGAGCCGAGGGCUUGCAGCUGGAGGAGAGGAA
Molecule: small nucleolar RNA, 89 nt
Organism: Artibeus jamaicensis (Jamaican fruit-eating bat)
Lineage: Eukaryota; Metazoa; Chordata; Mammalia; Chiroptera; Phyllostomidae
Product: small nucleolar RNA SNORD66
Exons: 1
Source: RefSeq, a predicted model, not a curated record